This 2241-nucleotide long non-coding RNA is filed under the name Scophthalmus maximus (turbot). Its description in RNAcentral is "lncRNA (ENSSMAG00000032909.1)". The record is from RNAcentral. Lineage: Eukaryota; Metazoa; Chordata; Actinopteri; Pleuronectiformes; Scophthalmidae.
AUGAGUCUUAAUCAGUGUGUCGCUCCCUCGAGACGCAUCAUCUCUCCGUUUACUUCCUCUGUGGACGAGAGAGAUAGGGGGGAGGGGGGAGGAGGAGGGAAGGAGGGAGGGAGACGAGGAGGGAGGAGAGAGAGGAGGAGGGAGGAGAGAGGAGGGAGGAGGAGGAGGAGGAGGAGGAGGGAGGGAGGAGGGAGGGAGGGAGGGAGGGAGGGAGGAGGAGGGAGGAGGAGGAGGAGAGGAGGAGGAGGAGGAGGGAGGGAGGAGGAGGAGAGGAGGAGGAGGGAGGGAGGAGGAGGAGGAGGAGAGGGAGGAGGAGGGAGAGGAGGGAGGGAGGAGGAGGGAGAGGGGAGGGGAGAGAGGGAGGAGGAGGAGGAGGAGAGGAGGAGGAGGAGGGAGGAGGAGAGGAGGAGGAGGAGGAGAGGAGGAGGGAGGAGGGAGGAGAGGAGGGAGGAGAGGAGGAGGAGGAGGGAGGAGGGAGGAGAGAGGAGGGAGGAGGAGGGAGGGAGGGAGGAGGAGGAGGAGGAGGAGGGAGGAGGAGGAGGAGGAGGAGAGGAGGAGGAGGAGGAGGAGGAGAGGAGGGAGGGAGGAGGGAGGAGGGAGAGAGGGAGGGAGGAGGAGGAGGGAGGAGGAGGAGAGGAGGAGGAGGGAGGAGGAGAGGAGAGGAGAGGAGGAGGAGAGGAGGAGGGAGAGGAGGAGGGAGGGAGACGAGGAGGGAGGAGAGAGGGAGGAGGAGGAGGAGGGAGGAGAGAGGAGGAGGGAGGGAGAGAGGAGGGAGGAGAGAGGAGGAGGGAGGAGAGAGGAGGGAGAGGAGGGAGGAGGAGAGAGGAGGAGGGAGGAGGAGAGAGGAGGAGGGGGGGGAGAGGAGGAGGGAGGGAGACGAGGAGGAGGGGGGAAGAGAGGAGGGAGGAGGAGAGAGGAGGAGGAGAGAGAGGAGGAGGGAGGGAGGAGGGAGGAGGAGAGAGGGAGGGAGGGAGACGAGGAGGGAGGGAGAGAGAGGGAGGAGGGAGAGAGGAGGAGGGAGAGAGGAGGAGGGAGGAGAGAAGGGAGAAGGGAGGGAGGAGGAGGAGGAGGAGGGAGGGAGAGAGGAGGAGGAGGGAGGGAGACGAGGAGGGAGGAGGGAGAGGAGGGAGGAGAGAGAGGGAGGAGGAAGAGAGGAAGGAGGAGAGGAGGAGGGAAGAGAAAAGGAGAGAAAGGAGGAGGAAGGAGAGAGGAGGAGGAGGAGAGAGAGGAAAGGAGAGAAGGAGGGGGAAGAGAGAGAGGAAGAGAGGAAAAGGGGGAAAAGGAAGAAGAGAGGAGGGAGGGAGGAGAGAGGGGGGGAGAGGAGGAGGGAGGGAGAGGAGGAGGAGGAGGAGAAGAGGAGGAGGGAGGAGAGAGACGAGGAGGGAGGGAGACGAGGAGGGAAGAGGGAGGGAAGAAAAAAAAAGGGGGGAGAGAAGAGAGGGAGGGAGGGAGGGGGAGGAGGGAGAGAGAGAGAGGGAGAGGAGAGAGAGAGAGGGGGAGAGAAAGAAAGGGGGAAAAAAGGAGGAAGGAGAGGAGGAGGAGAGAGGAAAGGAGAGGAGGGAGGAGGAGGGAAAGGAGGAAGGGAAGAGGAGGAAGGAGGAGAAGGAGGAGGAGAGAAGGAGGAAGGAGGGAGGAGGAGGAAGGAGGAGGAGGAGGAGAGGAGAGGAGAGAGGAGGAGAGAAAGAGAGAGAAGGAGGAGGGAGAGAGAGAGGAGAGAGGGAGGGAGGGAGAGGAGGAGGAAGAGAAAAGGAGGAGAGGAGGAGGAGGAGGAGGAAGGAGGGGGAGGGGGAAGGGGGAAAGAGAGGAGGGGGAGGAAGGAGGAGGAGGAGGAGGAGGAGGAGGAGGAGGAGGAGGAGGAGGAGGAGGAGGAGGAGGAGGAGGAGGAGGAGGAGGAGGAGGAGGAGGAGGAGGAGGAGGAGGAGGAGGAGGAGGAGAAGGAGGAGGAGGAGAGAGAAGGAGGAGAGAAGGAAAAAAAAAAAAGAAAAGAAGAGAGAGAGGAGGAGGAGGAGGAGGAGGAGGAGGAGGAGGAGGAGGAGGAGGAGGAGGAGGAGGAGGAGGAAGGAGGAGGAGGAGAGAGAGAGAGAGGAGAGGAGGAGGAGGAAGGAGGAGGAGGAGGAAAAAAGGGAGGAGGAGGAGAGAGAGGAGAGAGAAGAGAGAAGGGGGGAAAAGGAGGGAGGGAGAGAGGAGGAGGGGGAGGGAGGGAGGAGAGGAGGGGGGGAGGAAGGGGGGGGAAGGGGGAAG